Molecule: ribosomal RNA, 301 nt
Filed under: uncultured bacterium
Lineage: Bacteria
Description: partial 16S ribosomal RNA
Rfam family: Bacterial small subunit ribosomal RNA
Source: RNAcentral
CAGUCGCCGCGGGAAUACGUAGGUCCCGAGCGUUGUCCGGAUUUAUUGGGCGUAAAGCGAGCGCAGGCGGUUAGAUAAGUCUGAAGUUAAAGGCUGUGGCUUAACCAUAGUACGCUUUGGAAACUGUUUAACUUGAGUGCAGGAGGGGAGAGUGGAAUUCCAUGUGUAGCGGUGAAAUGCGUAGAUAUAUGGAGGAACACCGGUGGCGAAAGCGGCUCUCUGGCUUGUAACUGACGCUGAGGCUCGAAAGCGUGGGGAGCAAACAGGAUUAGAUACCCCUGUAGUCCCUGUCUCUUAUACA